Molecule: ribosomal RNA, 253 nt
Filed under: uncultured bacterium
Lineage: Bacteria
Description: partial 16S ribosomal RNA
Rfam family: Bacterial small subunit ribosomal RNA
Source: RNAcentral
UACGUAGGGGGCAAGCGUUGUCCGGAAUCAUUGGGCGUAAAGCGCACGUAGGCGGCUGGGUCAGUCGGAUGUGAAAUACCUCGGCUCAACCGAGGAACUGCGUCCGAUACUGCCUGGCUUGAGGUCCGGAGGGGAGAGUGGAAUUCCCGGUGGAGCGGUGAAAUGCGUAGAGAUCGGGAAGAACGCCGGCGGCGAAAGCGACUCUCUGGUCGGAAUCUGACGCUGAGGUGCGAAAGCUAGGGGAGCAAACGGG